UACGUAGGGGGCAAGCGUUGUCCGGAAUCAUUGGGCGUAAAGCGCGUGUAGGCGGCUCGGUAAGUCUGCUCUGAAAGCCCGGGGCUCAACCCUGGGAGGCGGGUGGAUACUGCUGAGCUCGAGUCCGGAAGAGGCGAGUGGAAUUCCUGGUGUAGCGGUGAAAUGCGCAGAUAUCAGGAAGAACACCCGUGGCGAAGGCGGCUCUCUGGGACGGUACUGACGCUGAGACGCGAAAGCGUGGGGAGCGAACAGG
This 253-nucleotide ribosomal RNA is filed under the name uncultured bacterium. Its description in RNAcentral is "partial 16S ribosomal RNA". It matches the Rfam family "Bacterial small subunit ribosomal RNA", at positions 524 to 776 of the family's 1533-position model. The record is from RNAcentral.